UACACACGGAUAACAUACCGAAAGGUAUGCUAAUACGGGAUAAUAUAUUUGAGAGGCAUCUCUUGAAUAUCAAAGGUGAGCCAGUACAGGAUGGACCCGCGUCUGAUUAGCUAGUUGGUAAGGUAACGGCUUACCAAGGCGACGAUCAGUAGCCGACCUGAGAGGGUGAUCGGCCACAUUGGAACUGAGACACGGUCCAAACUCCUACGGGAGGCAGCAGUGGGGAAUAUUGCACAAUGGGCGAAAGCCUGAUGCAGCAACGCCGCGUGAGUGAUGAAGGCCUUCGGGUCGUAAAACUCUGUCCUCAAGGAAGAUAAUGACGGUACUUGAGGAGGAAGCCCCGGCUAACUACGUGCCAGCAGCCGCGGUAAUACGUAGGGGGCUAGCGUUAUCCGGAUUUACUGGGCGUAAAGGGUGCGUAGGCGGUCUUUCAAGUCAGGAGUGAAAGGCUACGGCUCAACCGUAGUAAGCUCUUGAAACUGGGAGACUUGAGUGCAGGAGAGGAGAGUGGAAUUCCUAGUGUAGCGGUGAAAUGCGUAGAUAUUAGGAGGAACACCAGUUGCGAAGGCGGCUCUCUGGACUGUAACUGACGCUGAGGCACGAAAGCGUGGGGAGCAAACAGGAUCAGAUAGCCUGGUAGUCCACGCUGUAAACGAUGAGUACUAGGUGUCGGGGGUUACCCCCUUCGGUGCCGCAG
Molecule: ribosomal RNA, 697 nt
Filed under: uncultured bacterium
Lineage: Bacteria
Description: bacterial SSU rRNA
Rfam family: Bacterial small subunit ribosomal RNA
Source: RNAcentral